Molecule: ribosomal RNA, 253 nt
Filed under: uncultured bacterium
Lineage: Bacteria
Description: partial 16S ribosomal RNA
Rfam family: Bacterial small subunit ribosomal RNA
Source: RNAcentral
UACGUAGGGGGCAAGCGUUGUCCGGAAUCAUUGGGCGUAAAGAGCGUGUAGGCGGUCCGGUCAGUCGGUUGUGAAAGUCAAGGGCUCAACCCUUGAAUGCCGGCCGAUACUGCCGGGCUAGAGUCCGGAAGAGGUGAGUGGAAUUCCUGGUGUAGCGGUGAAAUGCGCAGAUAUCAGGAGGAACACCAAUGGCGAAGGCAGCUCACUGGGACGGUACUGACGCUGAGACGCGAAAGCGUGGGGAGCAAACAGG